This 71-nucleotide transfer RNA is filed under the name Abantennarius coccineus (scarlet frogfish). Its description in RNAcentral is "tRNA-Phe". It matches the Rfam family "tRNA". From Rfam's summary of the family: Transfer RNA (tRNA) molecules are approximately 80 nucleotides in length. Lineage: Eukaryota; Metazoa; Chordata; Actinopteri; Lophiiformes; Antennariidae. The record is from RNAcentral.
GCCUACGUAGCUUAAAAUCAAAGCGUAGCACUGAAGAUGCUGAGAUGAAGUUUUGUCAACUCCCGAAGGCA